RNAcentral lists this ribosomal RNA (428 nucleotides) under Verrucomicrobiota bacterium. RNAcentral's name for it is "Verrucomicrobia bacterium partial 16S ribosomal RNA". It matches the Rfam family "Bacterial small subunit ribosomal RNA", at positions 355 to 776 of the family's 1533-position model. The record is from RNAcentral. Lineage: Bacteria; Pseudomonadati; Verrucomicrobiota.
UAGGGAAUCUUCCGCAAUGGACGCAAGUCUGACGGAGCAACGCCGCGUGAGUGAAGAAGGUUUUCGGAUCGUAAAACUCUGUUGUAAGAGAAGAACAAAUUGUAGAGUAACUGCUACAGUCUUGACGGUAUCUUACCAGAAAGCCACGGCUAACUACGUGCCAGCAGCCGCGGUAAUACGUAGGUGGCGAGCGUUAUCCGGAUUUACUGGGCGUAAAGGGCGUGUAGGCGGCUAGAUAAGUGUGAUGUUUAAAUCCAAGGCUUAACCUUGGGGUUCAUUACAAACUGUUUAGCUUGAGUGCUGGAGAGGAUAGUGGAAUUCCUAGUGUAGCGGUAAAAUGCGUAGAUAUUAGGAGGAACACCGGUGGCGAAGGCGGCUAUCUGGACAGUAACUGACGCUGAGGCGCGAAAGCGUGGGGAGCAAACAGG